This is a long non-coding RNA of Eucalyptus grandis, 995 nucleotides long. RefSeq lists it as uncharacterized. NCBI's taxonomy places the organism in Eukaryota, Viridiplantae, Streptophyta, Magnoliopsida, Myrtales, Myrtaceae. The record is from RefSeq and is a predicted model, not a curated record. The transcript is spliced from 2 exons.
UUCCUUCAAGUACUUCAACCCGUGCAAGAGAGAGAGGGCUUCGGCUUGUGUGGGUGAGGAAGCCCUAGCUUCACAAGCAAAUCCCGCAACCACCAUCCCCUUCGAGUCGCGGAUGAUUCCGGCGGUUGAACAGAGGAACUCUCUUGGGAGCUACGAAGCGUCGACGUUGAGCUUCAACGCAUCCCCCUCCGGCGGCUUCCAUUGACCAAGUCGACAAGAUCUGCUGUUUGAGGGGGUUUUGCUCUGAAGAUAAAUUUGUUUCGAGAUUUCCAGAUGUUCCAAAAUACGGUUGAGGCAAGUUCUUGCUCCGGUAAGCCUUGCUUUCCUUGAAAAACCUCCAUGAGCCAUAUAUCGAAUCUUCUGAUGUUGCUGGGUUGGCAGUGAAUGUUGAUGCGAGGGUCAGUCCAUAUAGGUUUUGUCCAUUUACACAGCAGGAACAGGUGUUCUGUUGUUUCCAUGUGGGUAGAACAGAAGGGGCAUAGGGGUUCAGGGAUGAUUCGCCUUCUGUACAAGUUCUCUCUUGUAGGAAUAGCAUUCUGACAUAAGCUCCAUAAAAAGAUUCACAGCUUUGGGGGUAUAGAAAUAGACCAUAUUCUAGUCCACAAGGAUCUCGGCAUAGUGUAAGAGCAGGAAGCUCUGAUGAACUCAGAUUUGGUAGGGGUAGGGGCUCCGUUAUAACCACUCUUCACUGUGUAUUCUCCUGUCUUAUUUCUUGUCCACACAAGACAGUCUUUCUCUGGGUGAGUGUUGAGAUCAAUUGCCAAAAUUUCAUUCGACGUAGCUUCUUCAAAAGUAUUAAGUACUAGAGGUUCAUUCCAUGUGCUUGAAUCUUCAUUGAUCAGGUCUGAAACCAUAAUAGGGUCAUGCUGAUUUGCUGGGCCACCUAGCACGCCCGAAUGUAGAAAGGGAAAAAUAUGUAAUGUAUGUGAAAGAUUGUUGAGGGCUUGGAAGUCCGAUUUCUACUAUCUCCUUCGGUAAUACUCAAAGAAAAUUAA